AAGUUUUUAAGAAAAGUAUUUUUGAUACAAGAAAGAACUGAUAUGUUAUAAUAAGACUAUCUUAUUGUUAUGUGAAAGAUAAAUAUUAUUUGCCUAUCCACUAGAGACUAUUAUGGUCUGGUAAAGUUUUCUUGUCAACAUUUUAUUUCUUUUCAUUGCAUAACUGAAAAGAUAAAUAUUUACUGAUAAGAUGUUUAAUUUUGUCAAUAUAAAAAGAUAUUCUACCAGAUGCUUCAGAAGAUAAACCCAGAAUAGUGCGCUCUGUUUUAAAAUACCGUUUUUGCCACGAUUUAUAGGUUGGUGUAUUUUCUUUAAAUGCCACAAUCACCACUAUAAAUUUACAAAUGAAUUUGGGAUAAAUUUUUAAUUUCAAUUUUUCAUCAAAUAAAGAUUGUGUAACACAACCUGUGUCGUGUUACACAAUCGGUGUUACACAAGAUUGUGUAACACCGACUGUGAGCACAAACAGAUUUAUAUCUAUAUUUUGAUAGAUUCUUGCCAUUUUGUGAAAGGUUUCUAUAAUUACAGUGUCUUUAUCAUACAGUGUAUCAACGUGACUUAUGUCUGUAGUGUGUGGUUUCAGCUUUCAUAAUUGUAUUUUAUCAACUAAAAUAUGACAAACGGCAUUCCAUGGACGAAUGUAAUGAAACGAAUUUUAACAAGAGUCAACAAUUACUUUUCAGGUGAUAUCUGCAUUUAUGGUAAAAAAAAAUUGAUUGAUUGUGGCAUUUUCAAUUUGAUGGAAAUGAUUUCGAUGCAGUGCUCUAAUUAGAUACUUCCACUCAAUGUAUAACAAUAGUAAUUUUUGAAAUGGAAUAUUUACAACAAAAAUCUUGAAAAUUGUCUAAUAUGAUUUAUUCAUCAACAAAUUGAAAAUUGUCAACGCAAAAUACAGCUCUUGCCAGCUGGUGGUGGCUGCGUCUUGUUUGCUGGAAGCAACCGGAAGUCAUCCGAGAUUUCGAACAGAGGUGCUGGCUGCGCGUGAGAUUUUGAAUACGCCCGAGUUGACAGUUUAAUUAGGAAUGUACGGCAUGCGCACACAUCAUCUAACAAAAGAGUAGACAGAAAUGGAGGCCUUAGUCUAACUUGUUUCAGUCUAUUGCAAGACAAAGUGAAAACUUAAACAUAUAAUAUACUUACUUUUUGUAAGAAGUUAACUUCUAUUAAUUAAAUAAUACUGUAUUUUUUGGUUUAAAAAAUUGGGUGUAAUUAAUUUAUAUUUAAAAAAUUCAGACUCAAGUUUCUAUUGUUUGUUAAUGUCAUACUUUAUCAUCUAGUGUUUAACAAUUAAGUAAUAUAAUCUAAACAGAUAUAAUUAAGAUAAUAUUUUUAUGUAAUUUAUUAUUAAUAAAUUUGCAAAUCUAAGUAUAACACUUUUAUAAACUGUUGUAAGCAUGUACUUUUAAUUAAAAUAAAAAUUAUUAUUAUUAUUGUUGAUAGUAAAAUUAACUCUUAAAAUCAGAAUAAACAUAGAAAACGUGAUAACUUAAUCAGGAGAGUGGAAUUUAAUGGUUUCUGUUCAUUUGGAUUUAUUUUUAUAAAAUAAAAUUACUAAAAGUGAAAUUGAUGGCAAAAUUAAGACAUUGGACCUUAUUAUAACCAAGUGCCUCAUUUGACCUCAACAAUUAAAAUAAGUGAUUAGUUGAACCAGUCAUUGAUAUUUAAUAUCACUGUAAUUUUUCUGCCCAGGUGCUUCUGACUUUGAUUAUUGUUUUUUAAAAAUAAUCAAUCAUAAAUUGAAUUAUUUAUGGUCAAUGAAAUACUGUUAGGAUACAGAAGUUAUUAGUCAUAAAAAUCAUUUUUAUGAAAUUUAAUAAUAUAUAGACUGAUUGUAAAGUUCCCAUAUAAGAAAUGGUAUUCUGGUUCUACAUCAUAUUGGAUGUAGAUCCAAUAUGGUGUAGCCUCCUCAAAGUCCAGACAAAUGUACAUGAUUACAACAUAUGUUUAUAAUAGUAUGUCAAUUCAUUUUGGGUGAGUUAAACAAUUAAAUAUCUAGUUGAAAAAAUUUUUCAACAGAUAUUUAAUGUUGUAAAGCCAACAACUAUCGGGACUGUUCUAAAGACAUUAUUUUCCAAAUUGGUGGUUGAAUGUCAAGAACAAAUGUAGGAAAAAAACUAAAUUUACAAUGAGAAUAAAAAGAGGGUACAGGUAACUUUAAUUACACUGCAUAGAGGUUCCACAUAAUAGAUAAAUAAGAGACAUAAAUAAG
Centruroides sculpturatus (bark scorpion) is the source of this 2209-nucleotide long non-coding RNA. RefSeq lists it as uncharacterized. The record is from RefSeq and is a predicted model, not a curated record. The transcript is spliced from 4 exons. NCBI's taxonomy places the organism in Eukaryota, Metazoa, Arthropoda, Arachnida, Scorpiones, Buthidae.